Molecule: ribosomal RNA, 503 nt
Filed under: uncultured bacterium
Lineage: Bacteria
Description: bacterial SSU rRNA
Rfam family: Bacterial small subunit ribosomal RNA
Source: RNAcentral
GAUGAACGCUAGCGGGAGGCUUAACACAUGCAAGUCGAACGGCAGCACGGGGCAACCUGGUGGCGAGUGGCGAACGGGUGAGUAAUACAUCGGAACGUGCCCAAUCGUGGGGGAUAACGUAGCGAAAGUUACGCUAAUACCGCAUACGAUCUACGGAUGAAAGCGGGGGAUCGCAAGACCUCGCGCGAGUGGAGCGGCCGAUGUCAGAUUAGGUAGUUGGUGGGGUAAAGGCUCACCAAGCCAACGAUCUGUAGCUGGUCUGAGAGGACGACCAGCCACACUGGAACUGAGACACGGUCCAGACUCCUACGGGAGGCAGCAGUGGGGAAUUUUGGACAAUGGGCGCAAGCCUGAUCCAGCCAUUCCGCGUGCAGGAUGAAGGCCUUCGGGUUGUAAACUGCUUUUGUACGGACGAAACGGCGAGCUCUAAUACAGUUUGCUAAUGACGGUACCGUAAGAAUAAGCACCGGCUAACUACGUGCCAGCAGCCGCGGUAAUCAACG